RNAcentral lists this long non-coding RNA (12767 nucleotides) under Erythranthe guttata (spotted monkey flower). RNAcentral describes it as "long non-coding RNA (EGUT_LNC002034)". The record is from RNAcentral. Lineage: Eukaryota; Viridiplantae; Streptophyta; Magnoliopsida; Lamiales; Phrymaceae.
UCCCGACUUCUAAUUAAAAGCUAUGUGAAUUCUUAAGAAGGUUGCCCUCCUAAUAUUUGGUUGAACUACAUAUCAAGAAUCACCAAAAAAAAAAAAAAAAAAAAAAGGGCAGAAUAAAACAAGGGUGUGAUUUCUUGGGAUGUUGUUCAGGUAUUUAUUAGUGAAAUUAUUCUUGAAGUUCACGAUCGAAUUGCUGUGCUAAUCGCAUAUGCAAUCAUAAACCUAUUAAAAUACCUAAUUUAUGAUUUCUUGAGUAUGGUCAUGAGGCUAUAGGUAUACCGUGCAUCCAAGAGCUUGUUGAUAGCAUUUUAUCUAGUUUCUUUCAAUGUUCUUUUAAUUAAUCCUUGAAAAGAAUCUUCCUAUUUGGCUAACUUAGUCUACUUGAUUUCCUUCAUUUUUCAAACUUGGUUCAUGCUUGGGCUGAUGUUCUUUAGCUUUUCGAAAAUAUUUUUUCCAGAUUUAUGAGGAUUUUCGAAUUAAGGGGAUCUAGAUAUUUUGUAUUUUUUUUUCAGCUUACCUUAUUUGCUGACUGCGUGUUUUAACAGACCUUUGUUCUAACUAGGACUCUAAGUCUAUCUUUGGCACAGACUGAUCAGAAAGGGGGAGUAGUAACAACUCUGCCGUAACAACUUGCGUUGUGAUUUCCUGCGCUUUGAAUAUUUGUAUUUGAUAUGUCAUGCGUUUAAGUUUAUAUUCUGACAUUGCAGGAACAUUUAGUUGGUUACGACAUUUUUAUGUCGAAACAUUUAGAGUCCUAACAGUCUGUGUUACAGGGGGAGUAUAUCUCUUUUGCAGGGGGAGUAGUUCAAUUUUGCAGGGAGAGUUCUUAUUAAACAUGGAUUCUGACCAAUCUAUGCCAAAUGGGGAGAUUGUUGGCGCCAGAUUUCCGAGUGAUGAAGAUCGAGGAAAUCCGCCAAGUUUUUUGGAAUUAAAAGGUUGGCAAAGAUUUAUUUUCCAUGUUUAUUUUGGAAUUUAUUAAAGUCCUAUUCUUAUAAUACUUCUACAGUAGAACCUCGAUAAAUUAAUACCCGAUAAAUUAAUAACCUCGCUUAAAUAAUAAAUUUUCACGGUCCCGACUCGGGGACAACGUGCUAAAUUAAUAAUUCGCUAAAUUUAUAAGAUAAUACACUUUCGAAAAUUUUAAGAAGCCCCAUAUAAUAUAUAAAUUAAUAAUGCAUAAAAAUAAUUCUUAAAUUACAUGGUACAAUACAUACUUUAUAUAUCUAUGAAGGCUUAGUAAAAUAUAAUUUCAUUGUCACUUGUUUCUUGUUAAAGUUCUCAUUACCAUCAACCUCGUCCCUCACUUUUCUUAACAUGGUUAGAAUUUCUGGUAUAAUUUUCUCAUAAGUCAACAGAAAAUUGUUCAAUACCAUAUCUGCUUUAAAAGCUUUCGUUUGUGAAACGGGCUCUAUAGUACAUUGAACUAAUGGUACAAUGAAUAAUAUACACGUAAAAAAAAAAAAAAAAAAAAUGUAUUAUUGAAAAUAAUAAUAAAAAUAAAUUUCAUAAAUUAAUAAGUUAUUAAUUAAUGUAUAAAUUAAUAAUUAUUAAUUUAUCCAUAAGUUAAUAUUUCACUAAUUUAAUAGAAUUUUGAUGGUCCCAAUUGUAUUAAUUUAUAGAGGUUUAACUAUAUUAGGACUUAGAUUUAUUUCCAUGUAUUUUAUUCUAGUUAGGUAUCUUUUGUACUUAUCUAGAAUAAAAGUAGAAAUCAACUAGGAUUCUAUUACCUAGUUAAAUAGAUUUCUUGGGGUUCAAGUUAGGUCUUUGGGCUUAUUUUCGUGGCUAUAUAAGCCUCCAAGACAUACAAGAACCGUGCGCAUUAUUUGGAAGAAAAACCACUUCAUAGCGUCGAAGGUUUGCUAAGGCGUUCUGCGGAGCAAAACUGUGCUAUCGUUGCACUGUGCCAUCGUUGUGUGUGCCAAUAUAUACAGAUCUGUUGUAUAGAUCUCAAGGGAGAUCAACCGCGUUUCUGAAGGGAGUUCAGGCCUGAAGGGAGUUCGAGGCACGCGGUGUGGAGCUGCUGUUGGAAGAGACACGGAGUUCAAGUUGUGUACAAGAACGGCAUAUUACAUAAAGAGGGAGUCUUUAGUGUUUUUAAUAAGUCCUAUUAAUGUACACUGUAAAUCUGAACUAGUGAAAUCGUGUUUGCAGGUCCACGUGGAUGUAGGGCACAUUUGUGUCUGAACCACAUUAAAUUCUUGUGUUUGUUUACUCGCUUUUAGUAGUUUAUAACUGUGUUAACACAAGAAUUGUAGUUGUAACUACGUACUGUUCCCACGACAACUGUUACAACUUAGGUUAACAGAUUUUCAUAGGCAUUUAAAAUCAACAGUCUCUUUCGAUGUUGUUCGUUGGAGUCUACUCCAUAGCGAUAAUUCAAGUUUAGCUCGCGAUUAGGUUAACUUGCACUUUUAUUUUAUUAUAGGUCUUUUCGUACGAAAACUCUAAUUUUGGUUAUUAAAAUUUGGUUGGCAACAAGUAGGACCGGCAAUUGAGCCGGGCCUAUCCGAAGCUCGAUAGCUUUUGCCCUGAUUUUAUUUGAGCCAAACCUGAUUAACAGUGAGCCAGAGAGAGAGAGAGAGAGAGAGAGAGAGAGAGAGAGAGAGAGAGAGAGAGAGAGAGAGAGAGAGAGAGAGAGAGAGAGAGAGAGAGAGAGAGAGAGAGAGAGAAAGAGAUUGCGAGAGACAGAGAGAGAGCGAGAUUGCGAGGGAGGAGAAAAAAGAAAAAUAAAUUUGAGAAAUACGUGACUUUAGAAUUUAUGGAUUUAGAUUAAGGGUAGAUUAUGGAUAAAAGAAAAAAUAUAUUCCACAUCUAAUUAUAUUUCCAACUAGGGACCUCUAGCAUAUUACCCCUUUUUUUUUUUAAGUUGCGCAAUUUUCAAAUUUUCCAAAAGGUUCGAGAUUGGAAUGUAUUGGUAGAUUUUUUUUUUUUUUUUAAACUGGAACUAGAAGUGGUUUUGCAAUGUUUUCCAAAAAGUUCGAUCCAAUUCGUCCCAUCUCACUUUUACCCCUACAAAAUUUACAUCUAAUUACAAUUGAUUGGUAGUUUAGGGAUGAAUUAUGUUUUGCACCCUAGAAUGAAUAGUGUUUGGCGUUUUGCAUCCUAUCAUUCAAAAAAUUGACAAAGUUCACCCUUACGAAAUAUAUCUCAUGGCAAAAUGCACCUUCCUCAAUUUCUUGUGAUAUUUUAGCCACAACUCAAUAACAUAUCGUGAUAUUUUACACAUUUGAAGAAUUUUCAUUCUUCUUUAUGUUUUGUUUUAUUUACUUAAUAUUUAUUUUAAUUAUUUUACUUGUAUACAAAUUAAAGAAAAACAUAACUGGUGAUUUAUUUCUUAUGUUUCACAUCGAAUUCAUCAAUGCAUAUAAAAUUUCUAGUUCAAUUUUAAUUUUCAGAAAAUUCUAAUUUUCAUUAAAUUAAUAUACAUUCAAAAAAAUAGAAUGAGAACUGUUGGACAUUAUUAAGUUUAUAUUAAAAUGGUUUGUUGAUAAAAAAAUAAAUGGAUGAAUGAAAAUAAGGCUUUACAAAUAUUUUUUUUAAUAAAAAAUAAAAACUAUAAUAUACCAUCAAGCAUGAAAAUCCCUUCAAAGGUUAAUAUAUCAUGAUAUAUUGAUUUUUGGGUUAAAAUCUCAUAAGGAAUUGACGUGGGAUGCAUUGUGCCAUGAGAAAUAUAAUUUGAGUUUGAGCCUAUAGGAAUGAGGCCUGAUGAAAUUUGAGUUUGAGCAUAUAAUAAUGAGGUCCGAUGGUAUAUGAGUUUGAGCCGACCGAGGCUCAGCUCACAUGGCCCGAUUGCCCCCUAGCAAUAAGGUAAUCUACAAUUUUUUUGAAAUUUGAAUUAUGUUCAGGUCUAAAUGUCCAAAUUAUAAAACCUUAUACCUUGUUUGGUUGGAGAGAUUAGUCAUGAUUAACUAAAUAAUUGGACUUUAUUUGAUGUUUGGUAUUUUCAAUAACUUGCCGAUCGAGUCAACCUGCAAAUAUUUUAAUCUAGAAUAACUAUUUAAAAAAAAACCCCAACAUUAAUUUUUCGUUUUUUUUAAAUUGUAAAUCUAUGUAGAAUUUUUGGAAUUUUCGAUCCGAUUUUUAUUUUUAUUUUGCUUUCCUUUAGAGAAUGUUUAUUAUUUUAGUUUACUUAUAUAUUAUAUAUAUCAUGUAUGACAUAUAUUAGUGAACACUUAAUUAAACGUUGAAUACACGCCGCUACUUCCAAACUUAAUAAGCUAUGAUGCACAAAAACUUCAACCUGCACACGCGUUUCCAUAUUUCGGAAAUGUUUCAGAAACCGAAACUAUGACACCUGUCGGAAACGUUUCGGGCUGUUUCUAUAAACAUUUAAUUUUUUUGGGGACGUUUCUAAUAAUAAUGAAAAAUUGGAAACGCGUUUCCACAACAUAAAUCGAAAUUUCAUUUUAAAUAAAAACUUCGAAUUGCAUAUGCGCACUUAAAAAAAAUCUUAAUACACUAUGCCUUCUUUUUACUUCUAGUAGUGUUUUAAUAUUUUUAUAGAUGUUAAUUCCAUACUAAAAUAAAUGUAUGUACCCCGGAUGUAAUUUGUGGAAUGAUAUUAACAUUAUAAUAUUUUUUUUGAGAAAUUAUGAAUGCACCUCUCUAUAUUUUUAUUAUUAUGCGUAUCCCCACGUUCCCGUUUCCUUCUUUUUGGAAAAUUGAGUUUCUCCGUGUCCAUUUCCAUCUUUUCUGUGUUUGUGCUACAUAGCUUAACAAUUUUGAAAUUUAUACAAUUUUUUUAUAGUUCACAUAUAUAAGUUCUUUAUUUCUCUAUUUCAAACUUGUUUCAGUAUUUCAGUUGUAUUUAUCAUUAUCCGUGAUAGAUUUGGAUUAUAUACAUGAUUUGAAUUUUUUAGAUUCACAACGAGUCAUUGGUGAAAUACAUUCUAUUGAGUUUUAUAAAAGUUGGUGUUCUUAAUUUCUCAAAAUUUAUGAAAUUUCCAAAAAAAUCCUAAACUAACUAAUUCUUUUUAAAAGUUGCACGAUUUUCAAAAUUUCCAUAAGUUUCGAGAUUGGAAUGUAUUCAUAGAUUCCAUUUUUUCUGAAACUGGAACUAGAAGUGGUUUUGUAAUGUUUUCCAAAAAGUUCGAUCCAAUUCGACCCAUCUGACUUUUACCCCUACAAAACUUACAACUAAUUACAAUUGAUUGGUAGUUUAGGGGUGAAUUAUGUUUUGCACCCUAGAAUGAACACUGUUUGGCGUUUUGCACCCUACCAUUUAAAAAUUGGCAAAGUUCACCCUUACAAAAUAUAUUUCAUGGCAAAAUGCAACCUCCUCAAUUUCUUGUGAUAUUUUAGUCACAACUCAAUAACAUAUCGUGAUAUUUUACACAUUUGAAGAAUUUGUUCUUCUUUAUGUUUUGUUUUAUUACUUAAUUAUUUUAAUUAUUUUACUUGUAUAUAAAUCAAAGAAAAACAUAACUAGUGAUUUAUUUCAUAUGUUUUACAUGGAAUUAGUCAAGGGAAAAUUAGAAAAAACCCCCUCAUCUAGGAAAUAUAGUUAAGGAAACACCCCUUCCAAAAAAUAAUUAGAGAAAAUCCCCUUACCUAAUAUUUCACCCAUGUGAUAUUUUUAUAAUUCCAAAACUACACUUAAUUGUCUAUUAUAUUUUUUUCAAAAUCCUGAUUUUAUUUUAAUUUUAUUCCAGCGUGUUUCUCUCUUCUCUUCUUCUCUUCUUUGUUUUCUCUCUUCUCUGUUUUCUUCUCACUCUCUCUCUCUUUUUUUUUUUUUUUUUUUUUUUUAUUUCUAUUUUUUCUCCGCCAAUCUUCUCCCCGUUGUUGCUGCCGCCGCCGGAAGAUGGAGAAAAAAGAAGAGGAAUCACUCGUCGUCGGCGUGUGGGGGAGAAACACUCUUCUUUCUCAACAUCAUGUCCCACCCCGUCGGCGUGUGGAGGAAGAAGAAGAGGAACAAGUUGUUGAGAAAGAAGAAGAAUCACUCGUCGGAGGAGGAGAAUCAACGAAAAUUGUUGAUGAAGGUAUUUUUUUUUUACCUUUAUUAUUUUUUAGUGUUGGUUUUCUCAUGUGCUCAAAAAUUGUUUAUGGAGUGACCAACAAUGAUUGACAAAUACCUUUGAAUCAUUCUUGUUUUUUUUUUCGGACAUUGAAAUGCUCAUUUGUGUUUUUUUUUUUCAUGAAUUAUUUAUUUUAUUUAUUUUAUUCUUGUUAAGGAUUGGUUGAAAUUGUGUGGUGCGACGGUGUGGUGGCGAUGGGGAAGCAGAAGUUUUUUGGUGGAUCGGGCGAAGGACGGCGCGUGUAGAGAAUUUUGCGCAGGCUGAAACCUUAAUCGACUAUGUACAUGUUCAUAGUCGAUUAAGCUAAUCAACUAUGCUCUGGCAGUCGAUUAAGGUUGAUCGAUUCCAAUUUUUUUAAUUUUUUUGAUUUUUUUUAUUGAUUCGAAUUGUAUAAAUCAUUUAUAAUGUUUGUAUAUUUUUUAUUUUUGUAAUAUAUUGUUGAUUUUGCAUUUUUUCGCAGUUGUGAUUUGUUAUUUUUAGUAGUAGAUUCUUAAUCGACUAUGCUUCACAUCAUAGUCGAUUAAUAUGCUUCAUUGACUCCAAUUUUUUUUUUUUUUUUUUUUGUUUUUUUUUUUGUUUAUUGAUUCUAAUUGUAUAAAUCAAUUAUAAUGUUUGUAUAUUGUUUGUUAUUGUAAAAUAUAGUUGAGUUUGCAUUUUUGUAGUUGUGAUUUGUUAUUUUUAGUAGUCGGUUCCUUAAUCGACUAUAGUUCAUCAUAGUUGAUGUAAUAUGCUUCAUAGUCGAUUAACAUACCUGAUAGAGAAAAAAAGUUAAAAAACCAAAAAAGGAAAUUAAAAAAUAAUAAUAAUAAUAAUAAAUUAAUAAUAAUAAUAAAAUAAUAAUAAUAUAUAAAAAUGAAAAAAAAAAAGAGAAAGACACGGCUGAUGGGUCAUGGGAUAGUAGGCUGAUGGGUCAUGAAGAUAGUGGGCUGAUGGGUCAUGGAGAUAGUGUGUAAGGUGGAGGGACAUAAAUGAAAAAAUGAGUAGUUGAAAUUUGGAGUGGAUUUUUCUCAAAUGGUGCAAAAUAAUUUGGGCAUUUCUCUAUUAAAAGAAGUAUUGAUGGGUUAUAUCAAAGAGCCCCAUUAAUCAAUGAAUAUAAAUUUUUCAACAUUAAUUUUCAGAAAAUCCUAAUUUUCCAUUAAAUUAAUUUAUAUUCAAAAAAAGAGAAUGAUAACUGUUGGACAUUAUUAACUUUUUUUUUUUAAAUGGUUAGUUGAUAAAAAAAAAAAUUGAUUAGUGAAAAUAAGGCUUUACAAAUAUUUUUUUUAAUAAAAAGUAAAAACUAUCCAUCAAGCAUGAAAAUCCUUUCAAAGGUUAAUAUAUCAUGAUAUAUUGAUUUUUGGGUUAAAAUCUCAUAAGGAAUUGACGUGUGGUUCAUUGUGCCAUGAGAAAUAUAAUUUGGGGGUGGACUUCGCCAAUUUUGAAAUAUUGGGGUACAAAACGCCAAUUAGGGUUAAUUAUGGGGUGCAAAAUGCGAUUCACCCGUAGUUUAGCUAAUAAUCCUUAAUUAGAAUAAAAUCGGUAGAUAUAUUGGGAAAAGAAAAAAAAAACUAAAAUUAAAAGUUCCAUUCAUGUAAGGAAUUAUGUUUGUAUUAGAUACGUAUAUUAAGUAAAGUAGGAAACUAAGAAAGAAAUUCACCUGUAAAAAAUAGUAAAUAAACAAAAGAAAACUUGAGAAAGAAGUUACCGCAGGAUUUUCUACUUUAAGUAGGAGUGGAGGAAACCCUAUAAAAAGGAAGCCCUAAGAAGCAAACUUCAACACAACACAGCAGAAGAAAAAAAAAAAAAAAAAAAACAAACAAACAAACAAAACCCUAGUUCUAAUUGUUCCGAUGGGUGAGAUCGAGAAGAUUUUUCCGCACGACAUCGUCGAACAAAUCCUCUCUAAUCUGCCGGUGAAAUCGCUCUUCCGAUUCAAAUCCGUAUGCAAGUCAUGGAACUCGACAAUCUCCGACCGUAGAUUCGUCGGGCUUCAUAUCGAGCAAUCCCGACGGAGCUCCGGCAACCAAGAUAUCUUCUUUUGGGGCGAAAACUUCUACGAAGACCAGCGUCUGUACUGGUGCAGACACCACCUGGGCUGGGUUUACAGAAGUAACGACAAGGUAGCCGUCACCAAGAAACGGGAUGAAUUUCUAGAGCCGAAGAUCAAAUUCAACGUCGUACGGACAUUGGAUCCGGUCGUUUUGUGCUACUGCGACGGGCUAGCCCUCCGCCGGUUCCCUAGAGUUAACGAGAAAAGGUACGCGCUCUUCAAUCUACUCAUCGGCACUUACAUCGAGUUCACCUGCCCUUAUCCGAUGAGACACGACCCCCACAAGACGGUUUACGGUAUCUGCUUCGACGAGUCGACCAACGACUACAAGGUGGUCAUUAUCGACCGCAUGCACUACGCGGUCUAUCACUGCAUGAGCAGGAGUUGGAGUCCCAUGCAAGAAACGGGAGACGAGUUCCCGUGGCGUAGAAUGAUCCACGGGAAAGGGGUUUCGUUGAACGGGAACCUGUUUUGGGUUCUCAAAACCGAGGAGCUGCCAGAAGACGAGGAUAAAUCGGGGAAUAAAGAAAUAGUGGGUUUCGAUCCUAGGUCCGAAAAGUUGAUCAAAUUGCCGAGGCCGAAAAACACGAAAGCGCCACUGUUAUGGAUGUACUUGACUUUUUUGGAAGGCGAUUUGUGUUUGUGCAUCAACCAAAAUAAUCAUCAGAGGAUCAAAGUUGGCGUAGAAGACGCGUGGAGGGAGUUCGAAGGGGAGCUACCCUUGCCUAAGCAAGGGGAAGAAGAUCUACAAUUGACGCCGCAGUACGAGACUGUAGUCAAGGUAGGUUACUCGACUACUACAACGGGUUACUAUCGACUCCCGUAUCUCGAGAAUCUGUUCUUCAGCGAGCGCGAACAUGCCCUCAAGAAAAAGAAGAAGAAGAAGAACUACAAUUAAAUUAGAGUUUUUGUUAGAAUAGGUUGUGGAAUUUUGGUUUAGAUAUUACAAUUGGUAGUUUGGUAUACGUUUUACGAAAAGUUUUGUUUUUUAUUUUUUAAUUAUUAAUUAGGGUCUUUCUAGGGUGAGAUCCCAUGUUCUAAACUUUUAUGAGAUACUCGUGACCAUCUGAAAACUCACAAGAAUACUUACCAUUAAGACACAACACAUAAUUGACAAUAAACUAACAAUACGGAUAUAUAUCACAAAGCUGCAAUUUAUAAUGGUUAUAAAACUUAUAUAAAUAAUGUUAAAUAAAUUAUUAAUUCUCAUAUAAUUAUUAUUAUUAUAUAUUAAAAAUAUUCCAUACUAACAAAUCUUUAUAUAAUAUAAUUUAAAAAUCUAAGGAAAUGUUGUUCAACUCGUGUAAUUUAAAAAUGAGUUUCGAAAGAAUUUGAAGUUUGAAUUGAAUCGUAAAUUGGAAGAUUUAAUUAAAUCGUAAUAUUUGAAUCAAUUAAACUCAUGUGUUUUCAAUUCAAAAACAAUAUUCAAAGAUUUGAUCGAUUAAGCUCAACUCAUUUCAAUUCGUAUACAAUAUUCAAAUAUUUGAAUCGGUUAAACUCAAUAAUUUACAAUAGCGUAUUAAUCAAUCUGUGUAUAGUUAAAGUUUAGUAACCUUUUUUUAUUGAAUUUUAUCAUAAAAAAUAAUAAAAUUUAAUUCGUAAAAAUCGUAAGAUUUAAUCGGUUCAUGGUUAGAUUAAAUCUUACGAUUUACGAUAUGAUUUUUACGAUUUUACGAAUUAAAUUAUUAUUUUGUUGUUAAAAUUGAAUUAAAAGGAUAGUAGACUUUAAUUAUAAAUAGUUAACUCGAUUAAUACGUUCUUGUCAGUGGUUGAACUUAAUCGAUUCAAAUUUUUGAAUAAUAUUUACAAAUUAAAAGGAUUUGCGCUUAAUUGAUUCAAAUCAUACGCUUUAAUUAAUCUUAUGAUUUGAUUCUUGCGUAAUUUAGGAAUUAUUUUUUUAUGAUAAAAUUGAAUUAAAAAUGUAUUACACUUUAAUUAAUAAUAGUUAAUUUGAUUAAGACGUUCUUGUCAAUAGUUGAGCGCGCUAAUGAAUCGAUUCAAAUAUUUGAAUAAUUUUUACGAUUUGAAAGCACUUGAGCUUAAUUGGUUCAAAUAUUACGCUUUGAUAAAAUAUUAUGAUUUACGAUUAAGUUCUUACAUGUGUUAGGAAUUAAAUUUACUAUUUUUUAUGACAAAAUUGAAUUAAAAAGAUAUUAGACAUUACUUAUAAAUAGUUAAAUCAAUUAUGUAACAUGUUAUGUCAAUAGUUAAGCAACCGAUUAAAAUAUCUGAAUAAUGUUUACUAAUUGAAAGGAUUUGUACUUCAUCGAUUCAAAUCUUACUAGUUGAUGAAAUUAAAUAUUAAAAGAAAUUCACAAUAUAGUAUUUGUAGUAUAUAAUUUUAUUUUAAAGUAAGAAAACUACUAAUUGGAAUGAGUUAUAAUUUUUUCUUCUUCUAAACAAACAUAUUAUUUUAUUUUUUAUUUGGAUUUGUCACACUAUCGAUUAAAUAAUAUAAGUGAGUUUGAAUUAAGUUAUGCAUUUUUUUAUAUUUAAUUGAGCAUUCUUUAUAUUUAAUUGAGCAUUCUUUACAUUAAAUGGUGGAGUUUAUUAAUACUUCUAAUAUUAUAUAAUUAAUGAUAGAUGUUUGGCGUAUUGAACUGCAAUUCUUUAUAUUUUUAAAACUUUAUUUUAUUAAAUUUGUUAAUAAUUUAUUUAAUAUCAUUUAAUAAUAAUGAAUGUUGCAAUUAAUAUUUGAAUUAACAGUAUUUAUACAAUUAUUGUUAAAUAUAUCAUAAUAAGUUAAUGUGCUUGGAUGGUUAGGAGUGAUAAAUGUAUUAAGAGGUCACAAGUUCUAUUCCUAAUGAAUGCAUUUUUUCGAUUAUUUAUCAAAUAAAUCUCGGUCACAAUGAAUUUAAAUUAAUUAUUUAAUUAAAAUAUAGUAGGGGGUAAAUUAGACAAUUCAAUGUUAAUCAAUUUUAUAUUAAUUUAAUAAAAAAAAUAAUCGAAGGAUAAUUUGGUAAAGUACUUCAUUUUUUAGAACAUAAGCCAUGUUAUUUUCCUAGGGUCCAGAUUUAAUCUUAGAAAAUUAAUGGUGAUUAAUGCAUAUCUCAUAAAAGUUUAGAACAUGGGUAUCUCACCCUAGACAAACCCUAUUAAUUAAUCAAACAAUCAUGUUUUCAGAAUUUUAAUUUCGAAUUCAAAUUAUUCAAUAUAUAUAAUAUACUUUGGUCUUUGUAUGUUGAUAUUUUAGAUAUCCAUAAAUCAACUCGUUCCAUAAAGGUUUCCUUUUUAAAAUAUUUUGUUCCAUGUUGUAUACUACAUUGAAUUUUCAAUACUGCAUUAAAAUGUUUUUUUUCUUUCUAUUCUAAUUUCUAAAUUUAUUAAUUCAACUCUCUCUUAUCACAUUAUUAAAUAUUUAAGAUUAUUUUAGUCUAUCUAAUUUAUUUUUUCUAAAAUUAAUACAUAUUUAUUGAUAGUUUUAAUACUUGUAUAAAACUAAAAACUACACUUAAUAAGGAACGGAUGAAAUAAUUAUAUUCCUUGAAUUCUAACCCCAUAUCAAACACAAAUCACAAUCCAAAUCCUAAUUUGAGAUGCACCUUAAUUAUUGGAUAAUUCCUUGAAUUUAAACCCAUAUUAAACACAAAUCACAAUCCGAAUCCUAAUUUGAGAUGCACCUAGGGGUGGAAAUUGGAACGAAAAUUCCGAUUUCCGCCGAAUCCGAUCCGAAAUAUUCCGAUUUUGGAACGACUUUUUCAAUUCCGAAUUCCGAAAUUCCGAUUUCCGAAAAUUCCGAAAAAAAUCGGAUCGGAAUCGGAAAUACAUUACAGAAUUUCGGAAUUUCCGAUUUCCGAUCCGAAAUUAUUCCGAUUAUUUCCGAUUAUUUCCGAUUAUUUCCGAUUUUUUCCGAUUUUUUCAAUUAUAAUAUUAAUAUUUAUUACUAUAUAUAAUAUAUAAAAUAUAUGUAUAUAUCUAUCCGCCUGUACUAAUUAAUAGUAUUAUAUAUAUAAUAAUAAUAUAUACAUAUAUAUUAUUAUUAUUUUUUAAUUUUCUAAAACAUACAAAAGUCAAAAACUCAACAUUUAUUAAAAUUACUUCGAAACCCUAAUUUCCCGACUCUCUCUCUCAGCAAUCCGACCGUUCUUUCUCCCCCACCACCACCAGCGCCUUCUCCGACGACCACCACCACCACUGCCUCUCGGUUCUCCGACGACCACCACCACUAGCGCAUCUCGGCUCUCCGACGACCACCACCACCAGCAGCGCCUCCCAAUUCUCCGACGACCACCACCACUUGCGCCUCCCGAUUCUCCAACCACCACCAUCGCAACCAGGCCUCCCGGCUCUCCGACGACCACCAGCAAAGCCGCUCUCUCUAUCGGGUAUUUUUAGAAUAAAUCUAAUUUAAUUGAUUCAAAUUUAAUCUUCAUUCAAUUGAUUUAUUUGUGUUUUUGUGUGAGAUGUUCUGUUUUGCUACUGUGUCGGUGCUCAUUUUUUUUUUUUUUUUUUUUUUGUUUUUUUUUUGGGAAAAUUCUGAAAAAUUCCGAAAAUUUCCGAAAAUUUUCCGAAAAAUUUCCGAAAAUUUCCGAAAAUUCCGAAAAUGAAUAUUUCCGAAAAAUUCCGAUUUUCCGAAAAUUCCGAAAAAAUCGGAAUCGGAAUCACUUUUUGAAUUCCGAAAAAAUCGGAAUCGGAAUCGGAAGUCGUUUUGGAGUUCCGAAAAAAAUCGGAAAUUUUCCGAAACACCCAAAUCCGAUCCGAUCCGUCCGAUUUCCACCCCUAGA